This 450-nucleotide ribosomal RNA is filed under the name uncultured Glomeromycotina. RNAcentral's name for it is "SSU rRNA". It matches the Rfam family "Eukaryotic small subunit ribosomal RNA", at positions 569 to 1024 of the family's 1831-position model. The record is from RNAcentral. Lineage: Eukaryota; Fungi; Glomeromycota.
AGCAGCCGCGGUAAUUCCAGCUCCAAUAGCGUAUAUUAAAGUUGCUGCAGUUAAAAAGCUCGUAGUUGAAUUUCGGGACCAUCAUGUCGGUCGUGCCUCGGUACGUACUGGCAUUGUUGGUUUCUCCCUUCUGACGAACCAUGAUGUCAUUUAUUUGGUGUUGUGGGGAAUCAGGACUGUUACUUUGAAAAAAUUAGAGUGUUUAAAGCAGGCUCACGCUUGAAUACAUUAGCAUGGAAUAAUGAAAUAGGACGUUUGAUUCUAUUUUGUUGGUUUCUAGGAUCGACGUAAUGAUUAAUAGGGAUAGUUGGGGGCAUUAGUAUUCAAUUGUCAGAGGUGAAAUUCUUGGAUUUAUUGAAGACUAACUACUGCGAAAGCAUUUGCCAAGGAUGUUUUCAUUAAUCAAGAACGAAAGUUAGGGGAUCGAAGACGAUCAGAUACCGUCGUAGU